Molecule: ribosomal RNA, 497 nt
Filed under: uncultured bacterium
Lineage: Bacteria
Description: partial 16S ribosomal RNA
Rfam family: Bacterial small subunit ribosomal RNA
Source: RNAcentral
GAUGAACGCUGGCGGCGUGCCUAAUACAUGCAAGUCGAGCGAACGGACGAGAAGCUUGCUCCUCUGAUGUUAGCGGCGGACGGGUGAGUAACACGUGGAUAACCUACCUAUAAGACUGGGAUAACUUCGGGAAACCGGAGCUAAUACCGGAGAAUAUUUUGAACCGCAUGGUUCAAAAGUGAAAGACGGUUUUGCUGUCUCUUUUAGAUGGUGCCGGGCUGCAUUGGCUAGUUGGUAAGGUAACGGCGUACCAAGGCAACGAUGCAUAGCCGAUCUGAGAGGGUGAUCGGCCACACUGGAACUGAGACACGGUCCAGACUCCUACGGGAGGCAGCAGUAGGGAAUAUUCCGCAAUGGGCGAAAGCCUGACGGAGCAACGCCGCGUGAGUGAUGAAGGUCUUCGGAUCGUAAAACUCUGUUAUUAGGGAAGAAAAUAUGUGUAAGUAACUGUGCACGUCUUGACGGUACCUAAUCAGAAAGCCACGGCUAACUACGUG